RNAcentral lists this transfer RNA (72 nucleotides) under Spirochaetota bacterium. RNAcentral's name for it is "Spirochaetes bacterium (freshwater sediment metagenome) tRNA-Trp". It matches the Rfam family "tRNA". Rfam says of the family: Transfer RNA (tRNA) molecules are approximately 80 nucleotides in length. Lineage: Bacteria; Pseudomonadati; Spirochaetota. The record is from RNAcentral.
AGGCGCUUGGCUCAAUGGUAGAGUAGCGGUCUCCAAAACCGCGGGUUGCAGGUUCGAGUCCUGCAGCGCCUG